GUUACAUGCAAGUCGAACGGGAUCCAUCAGGCUUUGCUUGGGGUGAGAGUGGCGAACGGGUGAGUAAUGCGUGACCGACCUGCCCCAUACACCGGAAUAGCUCCUGGAAACGGGUGGUAAUGCCGGAUGCUCCAGUUGAUCGCAUGGUCUUCUGGGAAAGCUUUCGCGGUAUGGGAUGGGGUCGCGUCCUAUCAGCUUGACGGCGGGGUAACGGCCCACCGUGGCUUCGACGGGUAGCCGGCCUGAGAGGGCGACCGGCCACAUUGGGACUGAGAUACGGCCCAGACUCCUACGGGAGGCAGCAGUGGGGAAUAUUGCACAAUGGGCGCAAGCCUGAUGCAGCGACGCCGCGUGAGGGAUGGAGGCCUUCGGGUUGUAAACCUCUUUUAUCGGGGAGCAAGCGAGAGUGAGUUUACCCGUUGAAUAAGCACCGGCUAACUACGUGCCAGCAGCCGCGGUAAUACGUAGGGUGCAAGCGUUAUCCGGAAUUAUUGGGCGUAAAGGGCUCGUAGGCGGUUCGUCGCGUCCGGUGUGAAAGUCCAUCGCUUAACGGUGGAUCCGCGCCGGGUACGGGCGGGCUUGAGUGCGGUAGGGGAGACUGGAAUUCCCGGUGUAACGGUGGAAUGUGUAGAUAUCGGGAAGAACACCAAUGGCGAAGGCAGGUCUCUGGGCCGUUACUGACGCUGAGGAGCGAAAGCGUGGGGAGCGAACAGGAUUAGAUACCCUGGUAGUCCACGCCGUAAACGGUGGAUGCUGGAUGUGGGGCCCGUUCCACGGGUUCCGUGUCGGAGCUAACGCGUUAAGCAUCCCGCCUGGGGAGUACGGCCGCAAGGCUAAAACUCAAAGAAAUUGACGGGGGCCCGCACAAGCGGCGGAGCAUGCGGAUUAAUUCGAUGCAACGCGAAGAACCUUACCUGGGCUUGACAUGUUCCCGACGGUCGUAGAGAUACGGCUUCCCUUCGGGGCGGGUUCACAGGUGGUGCAUGGUCGUCGUCAGCUCGUGUCGUGAGAUGUUGGGUUAAGUCCCGCAACGAGCGCAACCCUCGCCCCGUGUUGCCAGCGGAUUAUGCCGGGAACUCACGGGGGACCGCCGGGGUUAACUCGGAGGAAGGUGGGGAUGACGUCAGAUCAUCAUGCCCCUUACGUCCAGGGCUUCACGCAUGCUACAAUGGCCGGUACAACGGGAUGCGACGCGGCGACGCGGAACGGAUCCCUGAAAACCGGUCUCAGUUCGGAUCCAA
RNAcentral lists this ribosomal RNA (1241 nucleotides) under Bifidobacterium longum. Its description in RNAcentral is "bacterial SSU rRNA". It matches the Rfam family "Bacterial small subunit ribosomal RNA", at positions 50 to 1302 of the family's 1533-position model. The record is from RNAcentral. Lineage: Bacteria; Bacillati; Actinomycetota; Actinomycetes; Bifidobacteriales; Bifidobacteriaceae.